This 795-nucleotide ribosomal RNA is filed under the name uncultured bacterium. RNAcentral describes it as "bacterial SSU rRNA". It matches the Rfam family "Bacterial small subunit ribosomal RNA", at positions 8 to 796 of the family's 1533-position model. The record is from RNAcentral.
AGAGUUUGAUCAUGGCUCAGAUUGAACGCUGGCGGCAUGCUUUACACAUGCAAGUCGAGCGGCAGCGCGGGGGCAACCCUGGCGGCGAGCGGCGAACGGGUGAGUAACACAUCGGAACGUGUCCCGUAGUGGGGGAUAGCCCGGCGAAAGCCGGAUUAAUACCGCAUAUGCUCUACGGAGGAAAGCGGGGGAUUCGCAAGAACCUCGCGCUAUGGGAGCGGCCGAUGUCCGAUUAGCUUGUUGGUGAGGUAAAGGCUCACCAAGGCGACGAUCGGUAGCUGGUCUGAGAGGAUGAUCAGCCACACUGGGACUGAGACACGGCCCAGACUCCUACGGGAGGCAGCAGUGGGGAAUUUUGGACAAUGGGGGAAACCCUGAUCCAGCCAUGCCGCGUGAGUGAAGAAGGCCUUCGGGUUGUAAAGCUCUUUUGGCCGGAAAGAAAAGAUCUCGUCUAAUACACGAGGUUCUUGACGGUACCGGCAGAAUAAGCACCGGCUAACUACGUGCCAGCAGCCGCGGUAAUACGUAGGGUGCGAGCGUUAAUCGGAAUUACUGGGCGUAAAGAGUGCGUAGGCGGUUCUUUGUGUCCGCUGUGAAAUCCCCGGGCUUAACCUGGGAAUGGCAGUGGAAACUAGAGGACUUGAAUCCGGCAGAGGGGGGUGGAAUGCCACGUGUAGCAGUGAAAUGCGUAGAUAUGUGGCGGAACACCGAUGGCGAAGGCAGCCCCCUGGGCUGAGAUUGACGCUCAGGCACGAAAGCGUGGGGAGCAAACAGGAUUAGAUACCCUAGUAGUCC